UGGGGGAUAUUGCACAAUGGGCGAAAGCCUGAUGCAGCAACGCCGCGUGAGGGAAGACGGUUUUCGGAUUGUAAACCUCUGCCUUCGGUGAAGAAAAAAAUGACGGUAGCCGAGGAGGAAGCCACGGCUAACUACGUGCCAGCAGCCGCGGUAAUACGUAGGUGGCGAGCGUUGUCCGGAAUUACUGGGUGUAAAGGGAGCGUAGGCGGCUUAAUAAGUCAGAUGUGAAACCCCGGGGCUUAACUCCGGAAUGGCAUUUGAAACUGUUGAGCUUGAGUGCAGGAGAGGAAAGCGGAAUUCCUAGUGUAGCGGUGAAAUGCGUAGAUAUGACACAGAACACCAAUCGCGAAGGCAGCUUACCAAGCAAUAACUGACGCUCAUGCACGAAAGCGUGGGGAUCAAACA
RNAcentral lists this ribosomal RNA (405 nucleotides) under uncultured prokaryote. Its description in RNAcentral is "bacterial SSU rRNA". It matches the Rfam family "Bacterial small subunit ribosomal RNA", at positions 355 to 774 of the family's 1533-position model. The record is from RNAcentral.